AUUCAGCUGGCGAGUCUUAAAUAGGACGAAAGGCGCAUCCUGGAU
RNAcentral lists this non-coding RNA (45 nucleotides) under Schistosoma curassoni. The record is from RNAcentral. Lineage: Eukaryota; Metazoa; Platyhelminthes; Trematoda; Strigeidida; Schistosomatidae.